This 466-nucleotide ribosomal RNA is filed under the name uncultured bacterium. RNAcentral's name for it is "SSU rRNA". It matches the Rfam family "Bacterial small subunit ribosomal RNA", at positions 26 to 518 of the family's 1533-position model. The record is from RNAcentral.
AGGACGAACGCUGGCGGCGUGCUUAACACAUGCAAGUCGAACGAGGUGCUUGCACCUAGUGGCGAACGGGUGAGUAACACGUGAGCAACCUGCCCUUGGCUCUGGGAUAGCCUCCGGAAACGGGGAUUAAUACCGGACAUGACCUUCUCCUGCAUGGGGGAGGGUGGAAAGUUUUUCGGCCAGGGAGGGGCUCGCGGCCUAUCAGCUUGUUGGAGGGGUAACGGCCCACCAAGGCGACGACGGGUAGCCGGCCUGAGAGGGCGACCGGCCACACUGGGACUGAGACACGGCCCAGACUCCUACGGGAGGCAGCAGUGGGGAAUAUUGCACAAUGGGGGAAACCCUGAUGCAGCGACGCCGCGUGCGGGAUGAAGGCCUUCGGGUUGUAAACCGCUUUCAGCAGGGACGAAGCGAAAGUGACGGUACCUGCAGAAGAAGCGCCGGCUAACUACGUGCCAGCAGCCGC